CCUACGGGGGGCAGCAGUCGGGAAACUUCUGCAAUGCGCGCAAGCGUGACAGAGUAAGCCAACGUGUUGCUCAGUAUUUUGAACAACUUUUUUGCGCUGUAAAAAGGCGUAAGAAUAAGGACUGGGAGAGACAGGUGCCAGCCGCCGCGGUAAUCCCUGCAGUCCAAGUCGCAACCACAUUUGUUGGGUCUAAAACAUCCGUAGCCAGCUUCGUAAGUCUCCUGUGAAAUCCGGCCUCUCAAGGGUCGACGAGCGGGAGAUACUGCAGAGCUAGGGACCGGGAGGCGUAACGAGUACGUACAGAGUACCGGUAAAAUGGGUUGAUUCUGUACGGACUAACAACCGCGAAGGCACGUUACGAGCACGGAUCCGACGGUGAGGGAUGAAGGCUAGGGGCGCAAAGUGGAUUAGAUACCCGGGUAGUC
RNAcentral lists this ribosomal RNA (425 nucleotides) under uncultured bacterium. RNAcentral describes it as "bacterial SSU rRNA". It matches the Rfam family "Archaeal small subunit ribosomal RNA", at positions 322 to 746 of the family's 1478-position model. The record is from RNAcentral.